UACGUAGGGGACAAGCGUUGUCCGGAGUUACUGGGCGUAAAGCGCCCGCAGGCGGUCCGCUCAGUUUGCGCUGACAGCUCCUGGCUUAACUGGGAGAGCGGUGCGAAGACGGGCGGACUGAGAGGACCAGAGAGGGACAUGGAACUCCGGGCGUAGUGGUGAAAUGCGUAGAUAUCCGGAAGAACACCAAAGGCGAAGGCAGUGUCCUGGCUGGUACCUGACGCUGAGGGGCGAAAGCUAGGGGAGCGAACGGG
RNAcentral lists this ribosomal RNA (254 nucleotides) under uncultured bacterium. RNAcentral describes it as "partial 16S ribosomal RNA". It matches the Rfam family "Bacterial small subunit ribosomal RNA", at positions 524 to 776 of the family's 1533-position model. The record is from RNAcentral.